RNAcentral lists this unclassified non-coding RNA (392 nucleotides) under soil metagenome. RNAcentral's name for it is "partial contains 5.8S ribosomal RNA, internal transcribed spacer 2, and large subunit ribosomal RNA". The stretch from base 1 to 122 matches the Rfam family "5.8S ribosomal RNA", at positions 35 to 154 of the family's 154-position model. The record is from RNAcentral.
GAUGAAGAACGUAGCGAAAUGCGAUACUUGGUGUGAAUUGCAGAAUCCCGUGAACCAUCGAGUCUUUGAACGCAAGUUGCGCCCGAAGCCAUUAGGCCGAGGGCACGCCUGCCUGGGCGUCACACGUCGUUGCCCCCCCAUCUACUCCUUCGGGAUUGCGGGGGGCGGAUGAUGGCCUCUCGUGCGCCUCGUCGCGCGGUUGGCCUAAAUGCCAAGUCCUCGGCGACGCACGCCACGACAAUCGGUGGUUGCGAAACCUCGGUUGCCUGUCGUGUGCGGUCGUCGCGCAUCGAGGGCUCGAAAAAAUUGCCGGGCUUCGGCUCGACUUUCAACGCGACCCCAGGUCAGGCGGGGUUACCCGCUGAAUUUAAGCAUAUCAAUAAGCGGGAGGA